CGGGGCGUAGCUCAGCAUGGUAGAGCGCUCCUUUCGGGUGGGAGAGGUCGGCAGUUCGAAUCUGCCCGCCCCGACCA
RNAcentral lists this transfer RNA (77 nucleotides) under Pseudomonadota bacterium. RNAcentral's name for it is "tRNA-Pro". It matches the Rfam family "tRNA". From Rfam's summary of the family: Transfer RNA (tRNA) molecules are approximately 80 nucleotides in length. Their secondary structure includes four short double-helical elements and three loops (D, anti-codon, and T loops). RNAcentral also lists the same sequence under 5 other names. Lineage: Bacteria; Pseudomonadati; Pseudomonadota. The record is from RNAcentral.